RNAcentral lists this small RNA (416 nucleotides) under Histoplasma capsulatum var. duboisii H88. RNAcentral describes it as "Histoplasma capsulatum H88 hypothetical RNA". The record is from RNAcentral. Lineage: Eukaryota; Fungi; Ascomycota; Eurotiomycetes; Onygenales; Ajellomycetaceae.
AUAAGCUCAUGCCCCGGUGGCCGAAUGGGUAAUGCGGCCACCUGGUAGCGCCUUGGCGUGGGGACCCAAGGCGCGUGGGUUCGAAAUCCGCAGGGGACAACAUUACAUCCGGAGCCAACUUCUCAGCUCCUAAAAUAAUGGGAUGUGAACCUGCCAAGUAGGUACCUUCGGGCGGACCUACUACUUGAUUUAGCUGAUUUUUCCUGGGCUGGGAACCUGUAUUGCAUGUACCAAAUCCUGUCUUUCAUUAAUUUUCCUAUGUUCCUGUUAUAUUCUUGGCGUCGUUCAACACUAAGCAUUCCUCCUGUAUAACCAACUCUUGCCUGUAUUUAACAUCACACAAGGACUCGUCAUAAGCACUGCUUGCAUACGAGUAUAACGGAAGAAUAAUAAUAAUAAUAAUAACUAUAAGCUCA